RNAcentral lists this ribosomal RNA (861 nucleotides) under Escherichia coli. RNAcentral describes it as "partial 23S ribosomal RNA". It matches the Rfam family "Bacterial large subunit ribosomal RNA", at positions 326 to 1191 of the family's 2925-position model. Lineage: Bacteria; Pseudomonadati; Pseudomonadota; Gammaproteobacteria; Enterobacterales; Enterobacteriaceae. The record is from RNAcentral.
GUGUUAGUGGAAGCGUCUGGAAAGGCGCGCGAUACAGGGUGACAGCCCCGUACACAAAAAUGCACAUAUUGUGAGCUCGAUGAGUAGGGCGGGACACGUGGUAUCCUGUCUGAAUAUGGGGGGACCAUCCUCCAAGGCUAAAUACUCCUGACUGACCGAUAGUGAACCAGUACCGUGAGGGAAAGGCGAAAAGAACCCCGGCGAGGGGAGUGAAAAAGAACCUGAAACCGUGUACGUACAAGCAGUGGGAGCACGCUUAGGCGUGUGACUGCGUACCUUUUGUAUAAUGGGUCAGCGACUUAUAUUCUGUAGCAAGGUUAACCGAAUAGGGGAGCCGAAGGGAAACCGAGUCUUAACUGGGCGUUAAGUUGCAGGGUAUAGACCCGAAACCCGGUGAUCUAGCCAUGGGCAGGUUGAAGGUUGGGUAACACUAACUGGAGGACCGAACCGACUAAUGUUGAAAAAUUAGCGGAUGACUUGUGGCUGGGGGUGAAAGGCCAAUCAAACCGGGAGAUAGCUGGUUCUCCCCGAAAGCUAUUUAGGUAGCGCCUCGUGAAUUCAUCUCCGGGGGUAGAGCACUGUUUCGGCAAGGGGGUCAUCCCGACUUACCAACCCGAUGCAAACUGCGAAUACCGGAGAAUGUUAUCACGGGAGACACACGGCGGGUGCUAACGUCCGUCGUGAAGAGGGAAACAACCCAGACCGCCAGCUAAGGUCCCAAAGUCAUGGUUAAGUGGGAAACGAUGUGGGAAGGCCCAGACAGCCAGGAUGUUGGCUUAGAAGCAGCCAUCAUUUAAAGAAAGCGUAAUAGCUCACUGGUCGAGUCGGCCUGCGCGGAAGAUGUAACGGGGCUAAACCAUG